UUUCCGUAGGUGAACCUGCGGAAGGAUCAUUAUUGUAUAACCGAGGUGCGAGGGCUGUCGCUGACCCGACAGGUCGUGCACACCCGAGUGCCCUCACACACAUUCAUCUCACCCCUAUGGGCACCACCGCGUGGGUCCCCCUUUGGCUUGUUCGGAGGGGGGCUUACGUUUUCACACAAACUUUGUAUGCAGUGUAGAAUGUAUUUUUUGUUUUUGCGAUCACGCAAUCAAUACAACUUUCAACAACGGAUCUCUUGGCUCUC
This 263-nucleotide unclassified non-coding RNA is filed under the name plant metagenome. RNAcentral's name for it is "partial contains small subunit ribosomal RNA, internal transcribed spacer 1, and 5.8S ribosomal RNA". The record is from RNAcentral.